CUCUUCAUUCUCAGUGACCCGCUCACGGUAGUUGGCGAUUGGCCUCUUACUGGUCGUUGCCUCGCGAUACUCCUGAGCCAAGUCCACUCCUCUCGAUCCUGAUUGGCGAUCUCACUCAUCCUUCGCUGCCAGAACCUGAGUUCGAGGCUUCAAGCUCAGCUCCGUGCACCCUCAUUAGAAUAACCUUUUGCUGCGCCAUUUUUUUUUUCCUUAAAAACCCUUGCUUUUCCCCUAAAGAUUUUCUUUUUUCAAUUGGUAAACAAUUUUACCCUCUUGGAGUACCUCAACUUGGCAUGUUAAGAGAUUUCUCUUGGGCAGCCAGACCACUUCCAAUUUCUGUUAAUAUUAGACAGCAGAUUCAACGAUUAAGAUAUCUGCAGAUGGAGGAAGAGUCACAGACGCAGACACCAAAAGAAGUCCAUGUUCAC
This 428-nucleotide unclassified non-coding RNA is filed under the name Hevea brasiliensis (rubber tree). Lineage: Eukaryota; Viridiplantae; Streptophyta; Magnoliopsida; Malpighiales; Euphorbiaceae. The record is from RNAcentral.